AUUGGUAUAGUCAUCGCAUCUCUUCCUUUGCAAGCGACACCAUUCCUCCUCCUCUCUCUGUAUUUUCCGUGGGGCGCUGUGUACGACAAAGCUAAACAAUAACCCUCCUUUGUUAUUUGUACCUUGAAAUGAAUCAAUCAUCUAAAAACCCAUAAGAGAAAGGAAAAUAAUUAGAUCCAGAGAAUUUCUCUGCCGUCACUCUCUCUUUUUUCCUCUCUAUUCUUUACUUCAUUCCACUUUUUAGGGUUUUAUUCUAUUUCAAUCGUUAUGCACCGGGGAAGAUCUAUCUUUUCUUUGUAGUAACAGGUAAUUUUCAGCUUUACAUUUGUGCGAAUAGUUGUUUAUGCCUUGUGUACAACUUUUAGCAUAUAACUUUUGAUACUUAUGUUUUUCGUUUUGUCUAAGGUUACACAUGUUUUGAAAUUGUUUUGGGCAUGUGAAUUUUGAUUCGUGUUCGUCUUUUUUUGAUUGGUGUAAAGUUGUAUGCUUUGUUUCUGAAAUUGUUUUGGCCUCUGGGCUUGUAGUUUGUGAUGCUUGUUCUUUGUAUACCCAUUGGCAUAAGAAAUUGUUUAGAGCAUAUGGAUUUUGAUUUAAUUAAUUGUUACAGGUGAAUUUUUGUGUGUUCCAUAUAACUAGUUGAGGAAGAGAUGGGUAGGGGUAGAGAUAGGGAUAUUUCAAGGUCUAGAUCGAGGUCGCCAGCACAUAGAAGGAGAUAUUCACGGUCACCCUCGCCCGUGGCACGCAGACAUAGCCGCAGAAGCAGGAGAGAUAGAAGCAGAUCACAUUAUUCCUAUAGCAGGUGAUACCCAUUUGCUUAAAUUGAUAUAUGGAUUUGACUUAUAUGGAUUUUGCCCUUGUGUUAUAUCUCUGAUCUUUGUGUUUUUAUGUACUUGGAUUUGUUUUUAUUAUUCUAAUAAAGCUCACGUUUUGCUGAUUCAAUUACAGUUUGUUCAGGUAUUGUCUACGUGUUUGAUUCUUGAAAAAGUAUUGGUAUUUAUCUAGCGUUUAUUGGAUCGACUUGCGCGGUUGCUCAAAAAUGAAUUUAGGACUUCAUAGUGACAGCAUUGGUCUAAGCUGUGGCAGGAUUGCUGAUUGAUCAUUUUUGCUUGUAUUUUAAAGACUUUAAGAGGAACUUCUAGUAAUUGGUGCAUUCGAAUACCGCUAAGUUUUCCAUCUAC
RNAcentral lists this long non-coding RNA (1178 nucleotides) under Nicotiana benthamiana. RNAcentral's name for it is "long non-coding RNA (NBEN_LNC031458)". Lineage: Eukaryota; Viridiplantae; Streptophyta; Magnoliopsida; Solanales; Solanaceae. The record is from RNAcentral.